Molecule: long non-coding RNA, 388 nt
Filed under: Equus caballus (horse)
Lineage: Eukaryota; Metazoa; Chordata; Mammalia; Perissodactyla; Equidae
Description: lncRNA (ENSECAG00000056472.1)
Source: RNAcentral
CCGAAGUCCACUUUUUUAACGGCUUCAGAAAUGUGUCCCAGGAAUCCCGCCCGCCCAGCCCUCUGGGGGCGCCUGUGGGCUCUGCCGACAUGAGCCAUCGCGGUCUAGCCUGGGCCGGCAGGGCAGAGGGAAGGAGGAUUUCUCCAGGAAAAGAGAAGAAAACACCUGAACAGCUUCUGAAAAUAGCUGCUUGGGUAGUUAUGAGACAGCUAUUGAAAUAAGUGCUUUCUCCCGUCUCUCCUGAACAUAAAGACGUGUGGUCGAGGUCUUGAAUCUUCUUGGAUCAGACAGCCGAGAGUCGUGCCCUAGAGGACCCAACCCAGGACCCCACGUGGUCUCGCUGUUGCGCCUUCUCGGUCUCCUUCGGUCCAUGGCAGCUCAUCUCUUC